Molecule: transfer RNA, 25 nt
Filed under: Scaptomyza caliginosa
Lineage: Eukaryota; Metazoa; Arthropoda; Insecta; Diptera; Drosophilidae
Description: partial tRNA-Phe
Source: RNAcentral
CACUCUAAAUAUAAGCUAUUUGAAU